Molecule: long non-coding RNA, 696 nt
Organism: Dreissena polymorpha
Lineage: Eukaryota; Metazoa; Mollusca; Bivalvia; Myida; Dreissenidae
Exons: 2
Source: RefSeq, a predicted model, not a curated record
CUAUAGUAGUGGGGGACAUAUUGUUUUUGCCCUGUCUGUUGGUCUGUUGGUUGGUUGGUUUGCGCCAACUUUAACAUUUGCAAUAACUUUUGCAAUAUUGAAGAUAGCAACUUGAUAUUUGGCAUGCAUAUGUAUCUCAUGGAGCUGCACAUUUUGAGUGGUGAAAGGUCAAGGUCAAGGUCAUCCUUCAAGGUCAAAGGUCAAAUAUAUGGGUCAAAAACGCUCAUUUAAUGUACACUUUUGCAGUAUUUCAAUAUUCAAGAUAGCAACUUGAUAUUUGGCAUGCAUGUGUAUCUCAUGGAGCUGCACAUUUUGAGUGGUGAAAGGUCAAGGUCAGAUGUCAAAUAUAUGUGGCCAAAAUCGCUCAUUUUAUGAAUACUUUUGCAAUAUUGAAGAUAGCAACUUGAUAUUUGGCAUGCAUGUGCAUCACAUGGAGCUGCACAUUUUGAGUGGUGAAAGGUCAAGGUCAUCCUUCAAGGUCAGAGGUCAAAUAUAUGUGGCCCAAAUCACUUAUUUUAUGAAUACUUUUGCAAUAUUGAAGAUAGCAACUUGAUAUUUGGCAUGCAUGUGUAUCUCAUGGAGCUGCACAUUUUGAGUGGUGAAAGGUCAAGGUCAUCCUUCACAAGGUCAAGGUCAUCCUUCAAGGUCAAACAUCAUAUAGGGGGACAUUGUGUUUCACAAACACAUCUUGUUCUA